Molecule: transfer RNA, 73 nt
Filed under: Posidoniimonas corsicana
Lineage: Bacteria; Pseudomonadati; Planctomycetota; Planctomycetia; Pirellulales; Lacipirellulaceae
Description: Planctomycetes bacterium KOR34 tRNA-Gly
Rfam family: tRNA
About the family: Transfer RNA (tRNA) molecules are approximately 80 nucleotides in length.
Source: RNAcentral
GUGUCCUUGGCCGAGCGGCAGAGGCUCCGGGCUUCCAACCCGGCCAGGCGGGUUCGACUCCCGCAGGGCACAC